AGGGGGGACGGAGAAGGCUAUGUUGGCCGGGCGACGGUUGUCCCGGUUUAAGCGUGUAGGCUGGUUUUCCAGGCAAAUCCGGAAAAUCAAGGCUGAGGCGUGAUGACGAGGCACUACGGUGCUGAAGCAACAAAUGCCCUGCUUCCAGGAAAAGCCUCUAAGCAUCAGGUAACAUCAAAUCGUACCCCAAACCGACACAGGUGGUCAGGUAGAGAAUACCAAGGCGCUUGAGAGAACUCGGGUGAAGGAACUAGG
Molecule: ribosomal RNA, 255 nt
Filed under: Escherichia coli
Lineage: Bacteria; Pseudomonadati; Pseudomonadota; Gammaproteobacteria; Enterobacterales; Enterobacteriaceae
Description: partial 23S ribosomal RNA
Rfam family: Bacterial large subunit ribosomal RNA
Source: RNAcentral